ACUCCUACGGGAGGCAGCAGUGGGGAAUAUUGGACAAUGGGCGAAAGCCUGAUCCAGCCAUGCCGCGUGUGUGAAGAAGGCCUUCGGGUUGUAAAGCACUUUCAGUGAGGAAGAAAGCCUUGAGGUUAAUACCCUCGAGGGAGGACAUCACUCACAGAAGAAGCACCGGCUAACUCCGUGCCAGCAGCCGCGGUAAUACGGAGGGUGCGAGCGUUAAUCGGAAUUACUGGGCGUAAAGCGCGCGUAGGCGGCUUGAUAAGCCGGUUGUGAAAGCCCGGCUGCA
This 283-nucleotide ribosomal RNA is filed under the name uncultured bacterium. RNAcentral describes it as "partial 16S ribosomal RNA". It matches the Rfam family "Bacterial small subunit ribosomal RNA", at positions 335 to 612 of the family's 1533-position model. The record is from RNAcentral.